AGUCGAACGAUGAAGCCCUUCGGGGUGGAUUAGUGGCGAACGGGUGAGUAACACGUGGGCAAUCUGCCCUGCACUCUGGGACAAGCCCUGGAAACGGGGUCUAAUACCGGAUACGAGCCUCCCGGGCAUCUGGGAGGUUGGAAAGCUCCGGCGGUGCAGGAUGAGCCCGCGGCCUAUCAGCUUGUUGGUGAGGUAACGGCUCACCAAGGCGACGACGGGUAGCCGGCCUGAGAGGGCGACCGGCCACACUGGGACUGAGACACGGCCCAGACUCCUACGGGAGGCAGCAGUGGGGAAUAUUGCACAAUGGGCGAAAGCCUGAUGCAGCGACGCCGCGUGAGGGAUGACGGCCUUCGGGUUGUAAACCUCUUUCAGCAGGGAAGAAGCGAAAGUGACGGUACCUGCAGAAGAAGCGCCGGCUAACUACGUGCCAGCAGCCGCGGGUAAUUCA
Molecule: ribosomal RNA, 451 nt
Filed under: Streptomyces sp. EXM-4-6
Lineage: Bacteria; Bacillati; Actinomycetota; Actinomycetes; Kitasatosporales; Streptomycetaceae
Description: bacterial SSU rRNA
Rfam family: Bacterial small subunit ribosomal RNA
Source: RNAcentral